GUUGGUGAGGUAACGGCUCACCAAGCCUAAGACGGGUAGCUGGCCUUAGCGGGUGGUCAGCCACACGGGAACUGAGACACGGUCCCGACUCCUACGGGAGGCAGCAGUGGGGAAUAUUGCACAAUGGGCGCAAGCCUGAUGCAGCGACGCCGCGUGAGUGAUGAAGGCCUUCGGGUCGUAAAGCUCUGUUGUAUGGGAAGAAAAAACCAUGGCUAAUAUCCAUGGUCUUGACGGUACCAUAUCAGAAAGGACCGGCUAACUUCGUGCCAGCAGCCGCGGUAAGACGAGGGGUCCUAGCGUUGUUCGGAAUCACUGGGCGUAAAGCGUAUGUAGGCGGGCUUUUAAGUCGGGUGUGAAAUCCCAUGGCUCAACCAUGGAAUUGCAUUUCGAAACUGGAAGUCUUGAGUGUGGGAGAGAUUGGUAGAAUACCCUAGUGUAGUGGUGAAAUACGUAGAUAU
Molecule: ribosomal RNA, 458 nt
Filed under: uncultured delta proteobacterium
Lineage: Bacteria; Deltaproteobacteria
Description: bacterial SSU rRNA
Rfam family: Bacterial small subunit ribosomal RNA
Source: RNAcentral